CUACUGGCUAGUCUCGUAGCUUGCUAGGUACUCCCUCUGUCCCAAAAUAAACAAAGCUAGUACGGGGAUGUGGCACUUCCUAGUCCUGUACUAGGUUUGUUUAUUUUGGGACGGAGGGAGUAUCAUAGUUUGUUACUCCU
RNAcentral lists this microRNA precursor (140 nucleotides) under Oryza sativa Indica Group (long-grained rice). Its description in RNAcentral is "osa-MIR1862d". The stretch from base 29 to 123 matches the Rfam family "MIR1862 microRNA precursor family". Lineage: Eukaryota; Viridiplantae; Streptophyta; Magnoliopsida; Poales; Poaceae. The record is from RNAcentral.